This 253-nucleotide ribosomal RNA is filed under the name uncultured bacterium. Its description in RNAcentral is "partial 16S ribosomal RNA". It matches the Rfam family "Bacterial small subunit ribosomal RNA", at positions 524 to 776 of the family's 1533-position model. The record is from RNAcentral.
UACAGAGGGUGCGAGCGUUGUCCGGAAUCACUGGGCGUAAAGCGCACGCAGGUGGCUGAGUCAGUCGAUUGUGAAAGCCCUGGGCUUAACCUGGGAAUUGCAGUCGAUACUACUCAGCUAGAGUAUGGGAGAGGGUAGUGGAAUUCCCGGUGUAGCGGUGAAAUGCGUAGAUAUCGGGAGGAACAUCAGUGGCGAAGGCGGCUACCUGGCCCAAUACUGACACUCAGGUGCGACAGCGUGGGGAGCAAACAGG